Molecule: small nucleolar RNA, 138 nt
Organism: Tachyglossus aculeatus (Australian echidna)
Lineage: Eukaryota; Metazoa; Chordata; Mammalia; Monotremata; Tachyglossidae
Source: RefSeq, a predicted model, not a curated record
AUCCUCUUAGGGUCACACCUGGAGAGUUUCCAGGACUCUACCAGUCUCGGUUACUAGAAGGAGAGUCACACAGAGGCCUAUCCAUUCCAUUCCUGGCUUGAGCAGUGGCUAGUGAGUGGAAGGCAAUCUGCUACAAGU